GGCUCAACCUCUUCGAGCCGUUGAAACUGGUUUUCUUGAGUGAGCGAGAAGUAUGCGGAAUGCGUGGUGUAGCGGUGAAAUGCAUAGAUAUCACGCAGAACUCCGAUUGCGAAGGCAGCAUACCGGCGCUCAACUGACGCUCAUGCACGAAAGUGUGGGUAUCGAACAGGAUUAGAUACCCUGGUAGUCCACACAGUAAACGAUGAAUACUAAUUGUUCGGGGAGAAUGAUCCCUGAGUGAUACAGCGAAAGCGUUAAGUAUUCCACCUGGGGAGUACGCCGGCAACGGUGAAACUCAAAGGAAUUGACGGGGGCCCGCACAAGCGGAGGAACAUGUGGUUUAAUUCGAUGAUACGCGAGGAACCUUACCCGGGCUCAAACGACACAGGAAUACUUUUGAAAGGAGGUAGCUCUACGGAGUCUGUGUCGAGGUGCUGCAUGGUUGUCGUCAGCUCGUGCCGUGAGGUGUCGGCUUAAGUGCCAUAACGAGCGCAACCCCCAUCGCCAGUUACCAGCAAGUCAAGUUGGGGACUCUGGCGAGACUGCCGGCGCAAGCUGUGAGGAAGGCGGGGAUGACGUCAAAUCAGCACGGCCCUUACGUCCGGGGCGACACACGUGUUACAAUGGCAGGUACAGAGAGAAGCAAUGCGGCGACGCAAAGCGGAACUUGAAAGCCUGUCUCAGUUCGGAUUGGAGUCUGCAACUCGACUCCAUGAAGCUGGAUUCGCUAGUAAUCGCGCAUCAGCCAUGGCGCGGUGAAUACGUUCCCGGGCCUUGUACACACCGCCCGUCAAGCCAUGGAAGCCGGGAGUGCCUGAAGUGAGCAACCGCAAGGAGCGCCCUAAGGUAAAACUGGUGACUGGGGCUAAGUCGUAACAAGGUAACCGUAA
Molecule: ribosomal RNA, 890 nt
Filed under: uncultured bacterium
Lineage: Bacteria
Description: bacterial SSU rRNA
Rfam family: Bacterial small subunit ribosomal RNA
Source: RNAcentral